RNAcentral lists this ribosomal RNA (412 nucleotides) under Acanthamoeba genotype T3. RNAcentral describes it as "SSU rRNA". The stretch from base 1 to 365 matches the Rfam family "Eukaryotic small subunit ribosomal RNA", at positions 762 to 1116 of the family's 1831-position model. The record is from RNAcentral. Lineage: Eukaryota; Discosea; Longamoebia; Acanthamoebidae.
AAAAUUAGAGUGUUCAAAGCAGGCAGAUCCAAUUUUCUGCCACCGAAUACAUUAGCAUGGGAUAAUGGAAUAGGACCCUGUCCUCCUAUUUUCAGUUGGUUUGCCGCGAGGACCAGGGUAAUGAUUAAUAGGGAUAGUUGGGGGCAUUAAUAUUUAAUUGUCAGAGGUGAAAUUCUUGGAUUUAUGAAAGAUUAACUUCUGCGAAAGCAUCUGCCAAGGAUGUUUUCAUUAAUCAAGAACGAAAGUUAGGGGAUCGAAGACGAUCAGAUACCGUCGUAGUCUUAACCAUAAACGAUGCCGACCAGCGAUUAGGAGACGUUGAAUACAAAACACCACCAUGCGCAUUGCGGUCGUCUUUGGUGUCGCUCACAAGGCGGCACCGGGGCGGCUUAGCUCGCAUGGCACCGGUGAA